This 485-nucleotide ribosomal RNA is filed under the name uncultured bacterium. RNAcentral describes it as "bacterial SSU rRNA". It matches the Rfam family "Bacterial small subunit ribosomal RNA", at positions 791 to 1268 of the family's 1533-position model. The record is from RNAcentral.
UAGUCCACGCCCUAAACGAUGAAUGUUAGUCGUCGGGUAGCUAGUCUAUUCGGUGAUGCAGCUAACGCAUUAAACAUUCCGCCUGGGGGGUACGGUCGCAAGAUUAAAACUCAAAGGAAUAGACGGGGACCCGCACAAGUGGUGGAGCAUGUGGUUUAAUUCGAAGAUACGCGAAGAACCUUACCUAGCCUUGACAUAUUUUAGAACACUUUAGAGAUAGAGUGGUGCCUUCGGGAGCUAAUAUACAGGUGCUGCACGGCUGUCGUCAGCUCGUGUCGUGAGAUGUUGGGUUAAGUCCCGCAACGAGCGCAACCCCUAUGUUUAGUUGCCAGCACGUAAUGGUGGGAACUCUAGACAGACUGCUUGUGAAAGCAAAGAGGAAGGUGGGGAUGACGUCAAGUCAGUAUGGGUCCUUAUGCCCUGGGGCUGCACACGUGCUACAAUGGGCUGGGUACAGAAGGAAGCAAUACCGCGAGGGUGGGAGC